UGCUGUGAACUCGAAGAGUAGGGCGGGACACGUGGUAUCCUGUCUGAAUAUGGGGGGACCAUCCUCCAAGGCUAAAUACUCCUGACUGACCGAUAGUGAACCAGUACCGUGAGGGAAAGGCGAAAAGAACCCCGGCGAGGGGAGUGAAAAAGAACCUGAAACCGUGUACGUACAAGCAGUGGGAGCCUCUUUAUGGGGUGACUGCGUACCUUUUGUAUAAUGGGUCAGCGACUUAUAUUCUGUAGCAAGGUUAACCGUAUAGGGGAGCCGAAGGGAAACCGAGUCUUAACUGGGCGUUAAGUUGCAGGGUAUAGACCCGAAACCCGGUGAUCUAGCCAUGGGCAGGUUGAAGGUUGGGUAACACUAACUGGAGGACCGAACCGACUAAUGUUGAAAAAUUAGCGGAUGACCUGUGGCUGGGGGUGAAAGGCCAAUCAAACCGGGAGAUAGCUGGUUCUCCCCGAAAGCUAUUUAGGUAGCGCCUCGUGAACUCAUCUUCGGGGGUAGAGCACUGUUUCGGCUAGGGGGCCAUCCCGGCUUACCAACCCGAUGCAAACUACGAAUACCGAAGAAUGUUAUCACGGGAGACACACGGCGGGUGCUAACGUCCGUCGUGAAGAGGGAAACAACCCAGACCGCCAGCUAAGGUCCCAAAGUCAUGGUUAAGUGGGAAACGAUGUGGGAAGGCACAGACAGCCAGGAUGUUGGCUUAGAAGCAGCCAUCAUUUAAAGAAAGCGUAAUAGCUCACUGGUCGAGUCGGCCUGCGCGGAAGAUGUAACGGGGCUAAACCAUGCACCGAAGCUGCGGCAGCGACACUAUGUGUUGUUGGGUAGGGGAGCGUUCUGUAAGCCGUUGAAGGUGGCCUGUGAGGGUUGCUGGAGGUAUCAGAAGUGCGAAUGCUGACAUAAGUAACGAUAAAGCGGGUGAAAAGCCCGCUCGCCGGAAGACCAAGGGUUCCUGUCCAACGUUAAUCGGGGCAGGGUGAGUCGACCCCUAAGGCGAGGCCGAAAGGCGUAGUCGAUGGGAAACAGGUUAAUAUUCCUGUACUUGGUGUUACUGCGAAGGGGGGACGGAGAAGGCUAUGUCAGCCGGGCGACGGUUGUCCCGGUUUAAGCAUGUAGGCGGAGGUUCCAGGUAAAUCCGGUACCUUAUUAACGCUGAGGUGUGAUGACGAGGCACUACGGUGCUGAAGUGAUAAAUGCCCUGCUUCCAGGAAAAGCCUCUAAGCAUCAGGUAACACGAAAUCGUACCCCAAACCGACACAGGUGGUCAGGUAGAGAAUACCAAGGCGCUUGAGAGAACUCGGGUGAAGGAACUAGGCAAAAUGGUGCCGUAACUUCGGGAGAAGGCACGCUGAUGUGUAGGUGAAGCCCCUGCGGGCGGAGCUGAAAUCAGUCGAAGAUACCAGCUGGCUGCAACUGUUUAUUAAAAACACAGCACUGUGCAAACACGAAAGUGGACGUAUACGGUGUGACGCCUGCCCGGUGCCGGAAGGUUAAUUGAUGGGGUUAGCGGCAACGCGAAGCUCUUGAUCGAAGCCCCGGUAAACGGCGGCCGUAACUAUAACGGUCCUAAGGUAGCGAAAUUCCUUGUCGGGUAAGUUCCGACCUGCACGAAUGGCGUAAUGAUGGCCAGGCUGUCUCCACCCGAGACUCAGUGAAAUUGAACUCGCUGUGAAGAUGCAGUGUACCCGCGGCAAGACGGAAAGACCCCGUGAACCUUUACUAUAGCUUGACACUGAACACUGGUCCUUGAUGUGUAGGAUAGGUGGGAGGCUUUGAAGCGUGGACGCCAGUCUGCGUGGAGCCAACCUUGAAAUACCACCCUUUAAUGGCUGGUGUUCUAACGUAGACCCGUAAUCCGGGUUGCGGACAGUGUCUGGUGGGUAGUUUGACUGGGGCGGUCUCCUCCCAAAGAGUAACGGAGGAGCACGAAGGUUGGCUAAUCCUGGUCGGACAUCAGGAGGUUAGUGCAAUGGCAUAAGCCAGCUUGACUGCGAGCGUGACGGCGCGAGCAGGUGCGAAAGCAGGUCAUAGUGAUCCGGUGGUUCUGAAUGGAAGGGCCAUCGCUCAACGGAUAAAAGGUACUCCGGGGAUAACAGGCUGAUACCGCCCAAGAGUUCAUAUCGACGGCGGUGUUUGGCACCUCGAUGUCGGCUCAUCACAUCCUGGGGCUGAAGUAGGUCCCAAGGGUAUGGCUGUUCGCCAUUUAAAGUGGUACGCGAGCUGGGUUUAGAACGUCGUGAGACAGUUCGGUCCCUAUCUGCCGUGGGCGCUGGAGAAUUGAGGGGGGCUGCUCCUAGUACGAGAGGACCGGAGUGGACGCAUCACUGGUGUUCGGGUUGUCAUGCCAAUGGCACUGCCCGGUAGCUAAAUGCGGAAGAGAUAAGUGCUGAAAGCAUCUAAGCACGAAACUUGCCCCGAGAUGAGUUCUCCCUGAGACCUUGAGUCUCCUGAAGGAACGUUGAAGACGACGACGUUGAUAGGUCGGGUGUGUAAGCGCAGCGAUGCGUUGAGCUAACCGAUACUAAUGAACCGUGAGGCUUAACCUUACAACGCCGAAGGUGUUU
Molecule: ribosomal RNA, 2570 nt
Filed under: Enterobacter cloacae
Lineage: Bacteria; Pseudomonadati; Pseudomonadota; Gammaproteobacteria; Enterobacterales; Enterobacteriaceae
Description: bacterial LSU rRNA
Rfam family: Bacterial large subunit ribosomal RNA
Source: RNAcentral